GAUGAACGCUGGCGGCGUGCCUAAUACAUGCAAGUCGAGCGAACAGACGAGAGUGCUUGCACUCUCUGACGUUAGCGGCGGACGGGUGAGUAACACGUGGGUAACCUACCUAUAAGACUGGGAUAACUUCGGGAAACCGGAGCUAAUACCGGAUAAUAUUUAGCUUCGCAUGAAGCAAUAGUGAAAGACGGUUCUGCUGUCACUUAUAGAUGGACCCGCGGUGUAGUAGCUAGUUGGUGAGGGAACCGCUCACCAAGGGAACUAUACAAAGCGGACCUGAGGGGGUGAUCCGCCACACUGGAACUGAGACACGGCCCAGACUCCUACGGGAGGCAACAGUCGGGAAUCUUCCGCAAUGGACGAAAGUCUGACGGAGCAAUGCCGCGUGAGUGAAGAAGGUUUUCGGAUCGUAAAACUCUGUUGUAAGUGAAGAACAAGUGCGUUAGUAACUGAGCGUACCUUGACGGUACCUGAACAGAAAGCCACGGCUAACUACGUG
This 499-nucleotide ribosomal RNA is filed under the name uncultured bacterium. RNAcentral describes it as "partial 16S ribosomal RNA". It matches the Rfam family "Bacterial small subunit ribosomal RNA", at positions 28 to 507 of the family's 1533-position model. The record is from RNAcentral.